UACGUAGGGUGCGAGCGUUGUCCGGAAUUACUGGGCGUAAAGAGCUCGUAGGUGGUUUGUCGCGUUGUUCGUGAAAACUCACAGCUCAACUGUGGGCGUGCGGGCGAUACGGGCAGACUGGAGUACUGCAGGGGAGACUGGAAUUCCUGGUGUAGCGGUGGAAUGCGCAGAUAUCAGGAGGAACACCGGUGGCGAAGGCGGGUCUCUGGGCAGUAACUGACGUUGAGGAGCGAAAGCGUGGGGAGCGAACAGG
This 253-nucleotide ribosomal RNA is filed under the name uncultured bacterium. RNAcentral's name for it is "partial 16S ribosomal RNA". It matches the Rfam family "Bacterial small subunit ribosomal RNA", at positions 524 to 776 of the family's 1533-position model. The record is from RNAcentral.